UACAGAGGGUGCGAGCGUUGUUCGGAAUUACUGGGCGUAAAGCGCGCGCAGGCGGCCUUUUAAGUCUGACGGUGAAAUGCCGGGGCUCAACCCCGUGCCCGCCGGAGAUACUGGGAGGCUGGAGACGAGUAGAGGCAAGCGGAAUUCCGGGUGUAGCGGUGGAAUGCGUAGAGAUCCGGAAGAACACCGGAGGCGAAGGCGGCUUGCUGGGCUCAUGUCUGACGCUGAGGCGCGAAAGCGUGGGGAGCGUACAGG
RNAcentral lists this ribosomal RNA (255 nucleotides) under uncultured bacterium. RNAcentral describes it as "partial 16S ribosomal RNA". It matches the Rfam family "Bacterial small subunit ribosomal RNA", at positions 524 to 776 of the family's 1533-position model. The record is from RNAcentral.